GACGAACGCUGGCGGCGUGCUUAACACAUACAAGUCGAACGGAAAGGCCCCUUCGGGGGUACUCGAGUGGCGAACAGGUGAGUAACACGUGAGUAACCUGCCCUUGACUUCGGGAUAACUUCAGGAAACUGGGGCUAAUACCGGAUAGGAAUCCUUGCUGCAUGGUGGGGGUUGGAAAGCUUCGGCGGUUUUGGAUGGACUCGCGGCUUAUCAGCUUGUUGGUGGGGUAGUGGCUUACCAAGGCUUUGACGGGUAGCCGGCCUGAGAGGGCGACCGGCCACAUUGGGACUGAGAUACGGCCCAGACUCCUACGGGAGGCAGCAGUGGGGAAUAUUGCACAAUGGGCGGAAGCCUGAUGCAGCAACGCCGCGUGCGGGAUGACGGCCUUCGGGUUGUAAACCGCUUUCAGCAGGGGCGAAGCUUGUGGUGACGGUACCUGCAGAAGAAGCACCGGCUAACUACGUG
RNAcentral lists this ribosomal RNA (465 nucleotides) under uncultured bacterium. RNAcentral's name for it is "partial 16S ribosomal RNA". It matches the Rfam family "Bacterial small subunit ribosomal RNA", at positions 28 to 507 of the family's 1533-position model. The record is from RNAcentral.